Molecule: non-coding RNA, 1433 nt
Organism: Pangasianodon hypophthalmus (striped catfish)
Lineage: Eukaryota; Metazoa; Chordata; Actinopteri; Siluriformes; Pangasiidae
Source: the annotation of a RefSeq genome assembly
AUGUUCACUGUUAUAUUCAUGUGUCUGUGGCUUUCACUAGGUGACUCCAUGGCAGAUUCAAUACAGCCACUUUCCCCUCGUGAAGUUGUAGAUGAAGGUGAUGAUGUUACUCUGUCCUGCAGAUACGAAACUACCAGUACUGCAGCAACCACCUACCUGCAGUGGUACAGGCAAUAUCCAAAAUCUAAACCUGAGUUCCUACUUUACAUCACUGCAAGUGGCCGUAAAAGUGACCCUCUUCCAUCACGUCUGUUUCCUAAAGUUGAUGAUAAAAAUAAACAGGUGGAUCUGCUCAUCUCCUCUGCUGCUGUAUCAGACUCUGCACUAUACUACUGUGCUCUGCGGCCCACAGUGACAGGAAAUCCAACUGCACUGUACAAAAACUUUAACACAGUUUUGUUAUAUUGAAAGCAUGAAUGAAUGAAGACAUUCUUUCACAAUAUGAGCGCAGAGCUUGAAGGGAUCUUUGAGAAAAGGUGAUACAAUCUUAAUUCCUAGGGCAUUGACGGGACAGAAGACGGGCUUUCUACAAGCUAGUUGUGAUUAACUUCAACUUUACCAGCCUCAGAGCAGGUUAGAUGUGUAGAGUAAGUGAUCUACUACAGCUAAAAAGAGAGCCACCUUUAUGAUACAGAUAAGCCAGAGUUUAACCCAAAGUUAGCUCACUAACCCUGAAAUCCUGCUUCAUGGUACAGCCCUCAGCAUAAACAAUUACUGAAGAUGAAUGAGUGUGCAGUUCCCUCUGAAAGUAUUGGAACACAAAGCCAGUUCAGCUGUUUUUGCUCUACACUGAAGACAUUGGCGUUUGAGAUCAAAAGAUGAAUAUGAGUUGAUAGAUCAGAAUUUCAGCUUUCAUUUCCUGAUAUUUACAUCUAGACGUGUUAAACAACUCAGAACAAGGCAUCUUUGGCAGCAGACUGCCCAGUUUUUAGGUGAGCAAAAGUAUUGGAACAAAGAGUCUUAAAGUAAAUAACUCAAUGUUUGGUUACAUAAUUCUUGCUUGCAAUAACUGCAUCAAGCCGGGGACCCACUGAAAUCACCAAACUUUUGCAUUCUUCUUUUGUGAUGUUUUCCAGGCUUGUAGCAGCAGCUUCUUUCAGCUGUUGUUAGUUUUGGGGGGUUUCUCCCUUCAGUCUCCUCUUCAGGAGGUGAAAUGCUGCUCAGUUGGGUUAAGGUCUGCUGAUGGACUUGGCCAGUCUAAAACCUUCCACUUUUUCCCCUGAUGAAGUGCUUUGUUGUGUUGCAGUGUGUUUUGGGUCGUUGUCUUGCUGCGUGAUGAAGUUCCUCCCAAUUAGAUUGGAUUCAUUUCUCUGUAAAUUGGCAGACAGAAUGUUUCUGUAGACUUCUGAAUUCAUUCUGCUGCUACCUUCAUGAGUUCCAUCAUCAAUAAAGAUUAGUGAGUCUGUUCCAGAAGCAGCCAUGCAAGCCCAAGC